GACGAACGCUGGCGGCGUGCUUAACACAUGCAAGUCGAACGGAAAGGCCCUGCUUGCAGGGUACUCGAGUGGCGAACGGGUGAGUAACACGUGGGUGAUCUGCCCUGCACUUCGGGAUAAGCCUGGGAAACUGGGUCUAAUACCGGAUAUGACCUUCCAUGUAGUGUGGGGGGUGGAAAGAUUUAUCGGUGUGGGAUGAGCCCGCGGCCUAUCAGCUUGUUGGUGGGGUAAUGGCCUACCAAGGCGUCGACAGGUAGCCGGCCUGAGAGGGUGGACGGCCACAUUGGGACUGAGAUACGGCCCAGACUCCUACGGGAGGCAGCAGUGGGGAAUAUUGCACAAUGGGCGGAAGCCUUAUGCAGCGACGCCGCGUGGGGGAUGACGGCCUUCGGGUUGUAAACCUCUUUCGACAGGGACGAAGCUUCGGUGACGGUACCUGUAUAAGAAGCACCGGCUAACUACGUG
Molecule: ribosomal RNA, 465 nt
Filed under: uncultured bacterium
Lineage: Bacteria
Description: partial 16S ribosomal RNA
Rfam family: Bacterial small subunit ribosomal RNA
Source: RNAcentral